This 467-nucleotide ribosomal RNA is filed under the name uncultured bacterium. Its description in RNAcentral is "partial 16S ribosomal RNA". It matches the Rfam family "Bacterial small subunit ribosomal RNA", at positions 28 to 506 of the family's 1533-position model. The record is from RNAcentral.
GACGAACGCUGGCGGCGUGCUUAACACAUGCAAGUCGAACGGAAAGGCCCUGCUUUUGUGGGGUGCUCGAGUGGCGAACGGGUGAGUAACACGUGAGUAACCUGCCCUUGACUUUGGGAUAACUUCAGGAAACUGGGGCUAAUACCGGAUAGGAGCUCCUGCUGCAUGGUGGGGGUUGGAAAGUUUCGGCGGUUGGGGAUGGACUCGCGGCUUAUCAGCUUGUUGGUGGGGUAGUGGCUUACCAAGGCUUUGACGGGUAGCCGGCCUGAGAGGGUGACCGGCCACAGUGGGACUGAGAUACGGCCCAGACUCCGACGGGAGGCAGCAGUGGGGAAUAUGGCACAAUGGGCGGAAGCCUGAUGCAGCAACGCCGCGUGCGGGAUGACGGCCUUCGGGUUGUAAACCGCUUUCGCCUGUGACGAAGCGUGAGUGACGGGAAUGGGUAAAGAAGCACCGGCUAACUACGU